RNAcentral lists this ribosomal RNA (435 nucleotides) under uncultured Paenibacillus sp. RNAcentral's name for it is "bacterial SSU rRNA". It matches the Rfam family "Bacterial small subunit ribosomal RNA", at positions 958 to 1392 of the family's 1533-position model. Lineage: Bacteria; Bacillati; Bacillota; Bacilli; Caryophanales; Paenibacillaceae. The record is from RNAcentral.
AACGCGAAGAACCUUACCAGGUCUUGACAUCCCUCUGACCGUCCUAGAGAUAGGGCUUCCCUUCGGGGCAGAGGAGACAGGUGGUGCAUGGUUGUCGUCAGCUCGUGUCGUGAGAUGUUGGGUUAAGUCCCGCAACGAGCGCAACCCUUGAUUUUAGUUGCCAGCACAUCAUGGUGGGCACUCUAGAAUGACUGCCGGUGACAAACCGGAGGAAGGCGGGGAUGACGUCAAAUCAUCAUGCCCCUUAUGACCUGGGCUACACACGUACUACAAUGGCCAGUACAACGGGCUGCGAAAGAGCGAUCUGGAGCGAAUCCUUUAAAGCUGGUCUCAGUUCGGAUUGGAGGCUGCAACUCGCCUCCAUGAAGUCGGAAUUGCUAGUAAUCGCGGAUCAGCAUGCCGCGGUGAAUACGUUCCCGGGUCUUGUACACACCG